UNUGAAGUUAAAGGCUGUGGCUUAACCAUAGUACGCUUUGGAAACUGUUUAACUUGAGUGCAGAAGGGGAGAGUGGAAUUCCAUGUGUAGCGGUGAAAUGCGUAGAUAUAUGGAGGAACACCGGUGGCGAAAGCGGCUCUCUGGUCUGUAACUGACGCUGAGGCUCGAAAGCGUGGGGAGCGAACAGGAUUAGAUACCCUGGUAGUCCACGCCGUAAACGAUGAGUGCUAGGUGUUAGGCCCUUUCCGGGGCUUAGUGCCGCAGCUAACGCAUUAAGCACUCCGCCUGGGGAGUACGACCGCAAGGUUGAAACUCAAAGGAAUUGACGGGGGCCCGCACAAGCGGUGGAGCAUGUGGUUUAAUUCGAAGCAACGCGAAGAACCUUACCAGGUCUUGACAUCCCGAUGCCCGCUCUAGAGAUAGAGUUUUACUUCGGUACAUCGGUGACAGGUGGUGCAUGGUUGUCGUCAGCUCGUGUCGUGAGAUGUUGGGUUAAGUCCCGCAACGAGCGCAACCCUUAUUGUUAGCUGCCAUCAUUCAGUUGGGCACUCUAGCGAGACUGCCGGUAAUAAACCGGAGGAAGGUGGGGAUGACGUCAAAUCAUCAUGCCCCUUAUGACCUGGGCUACACACGUGCUACAAUGGCUGGUACAACGAGUCGCAAGUCGGUGACGGCAAGCUAAUCUCUUAAAGCCAGUCUCAGUUCGGAUUGUAGGCUGCAACUCGCCUACAUGAAGUCGGAAUCGCUAGUAAUCGCGGAUCAGCACGCCGCGGUGAAUACGUUCCCGGGCCUUGUACACACCGCCCGUCACACCACGAGAGUUUGUAACACCCGAAGUCGGUGAGGUAACCUUUUAGGA
RNAcentral lists this ribosomal RNA (859 nucleotides) under uncultured bacterium. RNAcentral describes it as "bacterial SSU rRNA". It matches the Rfam family "Bacterial small subunit ribosomal RNA", at positions 588 to 1447 of the family's 1533-position model. The record is from RNAcentral.